Molecule: ribosomal RNA, 200 nt
Filed under: uncultured Glomus
Lineage: Eukaryota; Fungi; Glomeromycota; Glomeromycetes; Glomerales; Glomeraceae
Description: partial small subunit ribosomal RNA
Rfam family: Eukaryotic small subunit ribosomal RNA
Source: RNAcentral
CCAAUAGCGUAUAUUAAAGUUGUUGCAGUUAAAAAGCUCGUAGUUGAAUUUCGAGACCGGUUUAUUGGUCGUGCUUUUGUACGUACUGGUAUUAUUGGUUUCUCCUUUCUGACGAAUCUUAAUGCCAUUAAUUUGGUGUUUUGGGGAAUCAGGACUGUUACUUUGAAAAAAUUAGAGUGUUUAAAGCAGGCUCACGCUUG